RNAcentral lists this ribosomal RNA (254 nucleotides) under uncultured bacterium. Its description in RNAcentral is "partial 16S ribosomal RNA". It matches the Rfam family "Bacterial small subunit ribosomal RNA", at positions 524 to 776 of the family's 1533-position model. The record is from RNAcentral.
CACGUAGGCACCAAGCGUUGUCCGGAUGUAUUGGGCGGAAAGAGCUCGUAGGCGGUUCAGUAAGGCAGGUGUGAAAUCUUUGGGCUUAACCCAAAGCGUGCACUUGAUACUGCUGUGACUUGAGUUCGGUAGGGGAGUGGGGAAUUCCUAGUGUAGCGGUGAAAUGCGCAGAUAUUAGGAGGAACCCCGGUGGCGAAGGCGCCACUCUGGGCCGAAACUGACGCUGAGGAGCGAAAGCGUGGUUAGCAAACAGG